GCAGCAGCUCUUGUUGUGCAGGGAAUAACUCCUGUCAGCAGCAAGGUCCCGACUGAAGUGGCAGCUGCAGUUGUUCCUGUGGUGUGGGCCAGUGGAAUUGCAGGAGAGUGGAAGAGGCAGAAGCUGUAGGUAUUACCCCUGAUGUGGGAUCUCUCCUGGUAAGGCCAAGCCAGUAUCCUUUAAAAUCAGAAUGCCAGACUGGAUUGGUUGCAGUAAGAGCUGAAUUUGCUCCUCCUGGUUUGCUUGUAGAAGGUGAAUGCAAGAACCCUCCAAGAAAACCAAUGGCCCAGGGGAUUGAUGAGUGCAGGACCUGAGAGAACCACCUUGAAUGACAACCUCGAGUAGUUUCCAGUACUGGAUUAAAAAGAUGGCCUUUGCUGCAUCUCCUGGAGCAAGGAAAGCCAAGAAAGCUUUGCUUUGGAAGGAGAAAAUGGGGAAGCAGGAAGGAAGAAGAGAAGCCACGUGACUCCUCCCUGAGCCCCAGACAGCCCAGGAACUGCCUCCCUGGGAAUGGUAGGACGGGCUGGACUCUGGAAUGCUCCCUCUGGAUGUGUGGCUCUCCCCUGCAGGAACUCCAGGAACUCCUGGUGCCGCCUGGGCCGAUGGAUUGGACGCCCCAGCCCCUCCGUUCCUGCCCAGCCCCUGGGGCCGUGUCGAGUGGUGGCACUGCCAACCCCUGCAGUGGGAUGUAGCCUGGAAACUGCAGAGAGCUGAGCCAAGGGAUUUAAAGGGACCAAGCAAGGGAGGUGA
This is a long non-coding RNA of Corapipo altera (White-ruffed manakin), 750 nucleotides long. RefSeq lists it as uncharacterized. The record is from RefSeq and is a predicted model, not a curated record. NCBI's taxonomy places the organism in Eukaryota, Metazoa, Chordata, Aves, Passeriformes, Pipridae. The transcript has 3 exons.